Molecule: ribosomal RNA, 421 nt
Filed under: uncultured bacterium
Lineage: Bacteria
Description: bacterial SSU rRNA
Rfam family: Bacterial small subunit ribosomal RNA
Source: RNAcentral
UAAGGAAUAUUGGUCAAUGGACGCAAGUCUGAACCAGCCAUGCCGCGUGAAGGAUGAAGGUCCUCUGGAUUGUAAACUUCUUUUAUCUGGGACGAAAACGGGAUUUUUAUCUCAAUUGACGGUACCAGAGGAAUAAGCACCGGCUAACUCCGUGCCAGCAGCCGCGGUAAUACGGAGGGUGCAAGCGUUAUCCGGAUUUACUGGGUUUAAAGGGUGCGUAGGUGGGCUUAUAAGUCAGUGGUGAAAUCUCCGAGCUUAACUUGGAAACUGCCGUUGAUACUAUAGGUCUUGAAUUAUCUGGAGGUAAGCGGAAUAUGUCAUGUAGCGGUGAAAUGCUUAGAUAAGACAUAGAACACCAAUUGCGAAGGCAGCUUACUACAUAUAAAUUGACGCUGAGGCACGAAAGCGUGGGGAUCAAACA